This 497-nucleotide ribosomal RNA is filed under the name uncultured bacterium. Its description in RNAcentral is "partial 16S ribosomal RNA". It matches the Rfam family "Bacterial small subunit ribosomal RNA", at positions 28 to 507 of the family's 1533-position model. The record is from RNAcentral.
GAUGAACGCUGGCGGCGUGCCUAAUACAUGCAAGUCGAGCGAACGGACGAGAAGCUUGCUUCUCUGAUGUUAGCGGCGGACGGGUGAGUAACACGUGGAUAACCUACCUAUAAGACUGGGAUAACUUCGGGAAACCGGAGCUAAUACCGGAUAAUAUUUUGAACCGCAUGGUUCAAAAGUGAAAGACGGUCUUGCUGUCACUUAUAGAUGGAUCCGCGCUGCAUUAGCUAGUUGGUAAGGUAACGGCUUACCAAGGCAACGAUGCAUAGCCGACCUGAGGGGGUGAUCGGCCACACUGGAACUGAGACACGGUCCAGACUCCUACGGGAGGCAGCAGUAGGGAAUCUUCCGCAAUGGGCGAAAGCCUGACGGAGCAACGCCGCGUGAGUGAUGAAGGUCUUCGGAGCGUAAAACUCUGUUAUUAGGGAAGAACAUAUGUGUAAGUAACUGUGCACAUCUUGACGGUACCUAAUCAGAAAGCCACGGCUAACUACGUG